CUCACUUUGACUGAAGCAAUGCCCAUUCAGUGUUUAAAGAUAGGUUGCCAAAGUGUCUUCAUCCAUAAAAGGAAGACAGCACUGAAGUUUGGAGAAGUCUAGUGAGUGGUCCAAGGCUCUCUACCAGAAGAACUACGGACAGAGGUUCACAAUAUUAUGUAGGAGGCAGCAGCAUUCCAAAGAAAAAGAAGAGUAAGAAAGCAAAACGGCUGU
Phascolarctos cinereus (koala) is the source of this 213-nucleotide non-coding RNA. Lineage: Eukaryota; Metazoa; Chordata; Mammalia; Diprotodontia; Phascolarctidae. The record is from RefSeq and is a predicted model, not a curated record.